CAGGAAGAGGAGGAAGCCCUGGAGGGGCUGGAGGUGAUGGAUGUUUUCCUCCGGUUCUCAGGGCUCCACCUCUUUCG
This 77-nucleotide microRNA precursor is filed under the name Prolemur simus (greater bamboo lemur). RNAcentral's name for it is "microRNA 671 (ENSPSMG00000009604.1)". It matches the Rfam family "mir-671 microRNA precursor family". Lineage: Eukaryota; Metazoa; Chordata; Mammalia; Primates; Lemuridae. The record is from RNAcentral.